Molecule: long non-coding RNA, 2789 nt
Organism: Heterocephalus glaber (naked mole-rat)
Lineage: Eukaryota; Metazoa; Chordata; Mammalia; Rodentia; Bathyergidae
Source: Ensembl
CGCGGGGUCCCGGGAGCCCCCCUGGCGCACCCCCGGGCGGGUACUUACAGUUCCCAUCUGCAGAGGGGGCAACUUUCACCGACCCCGCGGUGGCCGCCGCCCCCUCCAGCCUGUUCGGGCGCCCGGCACCCUCCGGCCUGGGUUCGCGCUGGCCUGCGCGCCCCUCCCCCGCUCUGGGCUCCGCUCAGUCUUCACCACAUUGCCCCCAGCUCAGCGGCGAGCGCCCGGGGAGCUGCCGGAGGGAGCGGGGCGCGAGGCUGAGCACGCAUCGCAGGGCUUCUUCUUGCAGCGCACACUGUACAUGGUAGUGUGGGGGCGAGAGAAGGUGGCACUGGCCCCUGGGCUCCUCCAGCGGCGGCGGCGGAGGCUGCGACUCCUACGCGGUCCUCCGCCUCCCGCGCGGCGACCACCGCGCUGGGCUCCCGCCGCCGCUGUCCCCAGCCUAGCCCGCCGCCACCGCGGCCCCUAAUUAGUAUUUGCACGGUUCCCGCAUCCUCUUGGCCGUUUCGUCGCUCUCGGCGUCUGCAGGGUUUGUUCCUCUCUCCCUUCCCCAGAUGCGGCGCUCGAUCGUCAUUAUUCGGAGCUCUGUAUCUCCGACCUCCUUCGGGGGUCUGAGGGGCUGGAGUAGCGCUGCUCUACGCCUGUGGCGCGUCCUGGCAGCCCGGAGGCUCAAAAAAACUCAGAGAAAGUCGCGUCUUCUCUCCUGGGCGAUGAGGAGGUGGCAGCACGAAAAGCAUCGUCCGGGUCUCUGAGACCUCUGCUCCGUGGCCGGCGCUGGGCCAGUCCGGUGCACUUGUUUAUUGUCGCGCUGCUGGUGCGAGCCACGCUGCCGCAGACAUGAUGGGCCCGGGGCGAAGCAGGCACGCGGCGGCCGAUAGGUGGCAGCCAAGAGCGCGAGCCGCGCUGGGCUCCAGAGGCUCAGCCGGAGCCCCCCUCGAAUGUCACAUCCUUGGGAGACAGAGGAGUCUGGGACCAUGUGCGUAACGCGAGCGUGGGAGUGUGCAGUUCUCGUAUUGGAGAAGGGAGGAGUGGAGAUAACCCCGACAGUGCUAGGCUUGGUGGUGGGGGUCAGGGGCAGAUGAUUCCAGCCCAGUGCUGCCCGCUUGCUGCUUGCUCCCUCUUCCAUUUAGAGUGGGAGAGCCCUUGCUGCCGUCUCCCACAACACUGUAGAGGACCCUGGAAGAGGGAGUGGUUCGUUCUAGCUGUAAAGAGGGAGCUACUUUUAUUUUUAAGAGUUACGUUUUUAUAACUAUGUUUGGGCAGUUCAAGGGAAUGUGAACGACUUUCAGAAAAAAAAUGGUUUGUGAAUGCACUGGGAAUGAACUAGAAGCUGGAAAAGCCCUAAAUAGAGGCAGUCUCAAUAGAAAGCGAGUUUCUUCAAGAGUCACCUGCUAAACUUCACUAGCUUCGUCUCUACAGUGAAGAACUUAGCUACAGAGAGGGAGAGAGAGAGAGAGCGAGAGAGAGAGGAAAUAAAAAUGCAUCCUGUGUGCGGAGCUGUCGCACUAAUAGUUAUCUCCAAGGAGCUUCACUAUUUGUGGAUUGAAACUCACAUGAACAUUCUGAUUUUGCUAUACCUGCUCAUUAUUUGAAGAACAACUCUUAUUGUAUUUAAGCUCCUGUUGGUGCUCUGCAUUCUGUGGAUUGAGCCAGCUUAAAUACAUUCCCUACUUCAUCUCCAGUUGGCCUUUUCCUUAUAGAUAGCCCUAUAUCUUCUUAUAAGAAUAACUGUCAUUGGCUUUUGGACCCACUCCAAAUAUGAUAUUUCAUUGCUGGUGUUAGAAAAAAUAAAUUGAUUUUGAAUGUUCUGUGCUGUCUGGGCCUGUCUUGCAAUUGAUCCUGGAUUUGAAGCUGACAACUGUGAACUAGUAGGAGAAUGCUGCCACAGGAGCUGCCAUGCCUGAAGAAAAUUCAAAAAAAGAAACUGGCACUAGGGUCCUUCACUGAGAAGUCUGCCUUCUUGACUGUCACCAUGCCAUGGGAGAGGUAGAGGAAGGGUAAGGAAAAACAAAACACCACAAGUAUUUUUUCUUUUAUAUGUUGCCUCAGUUUUGAGUCAGCAUUUGAUUUAUUGUCAUUUAACUGUUUCUUUUUUGUUUUCUUUUCCUGAUAAUGUUGGAUCUGCUUAUACUACUUUCAGUGUUUUUGGUGGCCCUGUGUUGGGGCCAGUUAUUCCAUUUUACUGAAGUUAGUACUUCUGAGUCUGCCUCAUGAUUUAUAAUGCUCAGUACUCCAAAGAGAGGACAAGCUGGUUUAAAGGUGAUAAAUUGUUCAAGUCACUGAAGCUGGGGUAACCAACAGUUUUCUCUCCAGAGGACUAGGAAAGAAUCCUACUUUGAAGACUGGGAGGCACUUAGAGUUCUGUGAUUUAGUUUUUUGGUCCAUUAGUUACUUAGCAAUAUGUUGCUCCCACAUGGUUGUGAUUUUUUUGUCAGUAAUUUCUACGUUUAUUUCACUGUGGUUGGAGUAUGUAUGUGUUAUGAUUUUUGUCCUUUGCAUUUGGUGAUAUUUAUUUUAUAGCUUGAUAAUCAUUCUGCUUAUGAAAAUGUUCCAUGAGAACUUGGGAAGAAUACAUAUUUGGUUUUGGGGGAUCAGGUGUUCAAUAAAUAUACAAUAGGUCAUUUGAUUUAAACAUUGUUUACUUCUAUUUCUUUGUUAAUCUUCUGCAUAGUUGCUAUAUACUUUAUUUAAAAAGGGGUACUGAAGUGUCCAAUUAUUAUUGCAGAAAUUUCUUUUGUACCUUCAUUUAUGUCAGUUUUGCUCAAUGUAAUUGGCUCUUUCUAUUUAGG